Molecule: transfer RNA, 65 nt
Filed under: Semelidae sp. STW-2017
Lineage: Eukaryota; Metazoa; Mollusca; Bivalvia; Cardiida; Semelidae
Description: tRNA-Glu
Rfam family: tRNA
About the family: Transfer RNA (tRNA) molecules are approximately 80 nucleotides in length.
Source: RNAcentral
GCUUUUAUGGUGUAUUUAACACAUUAGAUUUUCGAUCUAAAGUUGGAGAUUUACUCUUAAAAGUU